Molecule: ribosomal RNA, 279 nt
Filed under: uncultured bacterium
Lineage: Bacteria
Description: partial 16S ribosomal RNA
Rfam family: Bacterial small subunit ribosomal RNA
Source: RNAcentral
UGCCAGCCGCCGCGGUAAUACGGAGGGUGCGAGCGUUAAUCGGAAUUACUGGGCGUAAAGCGCGCGUAGGCGGCUUGGUCAGUCGAAUGUGAAAGCCCUGGGCUUAACCUGGGAAUUGCACUCGAUACUGCCAGGCUAGAGUAUGGGAGAGGGAAGCGGAAUUUCCGGUGUAGCGGUGAAAUGCGUAGAUAUCGGAAGGAACACCAGUGGCGAAGGCGGCUUCCUGGCCCAAUACUGACGCUGAGGUGCGAAAGCGUGGGUAGCGAACAGGAUUAGAUA